CUCCCCACCGUCCCCACCCCCUCCCCUCGGUCUCCCGUGCGGUGCCCUGAGAGCUGGAGGCUGACGUCAGGGGCCUGAAUUCCUGACUUUGCCUGCACGCAUUUGUCCAUGUAAGGCAGAGGAAGAUGCAGAAGGUAAAAGGCCUGGGCAUUUAAAUAAAAUCGGAUAACUUCCUCAAGAGAUGAAGACUGGAUGUAAGCAGACCAGUGGGAAGGGAGAGGAAGAAUCAACAGGGCCUGGCCACUUGGAAACAGAAGCAGGAUGGGCAUGGGGAGGCAAAGGAGAGGAAGCAGCCAUGGCAACACCUGGGACUUACGCUCAAAUGUUAUCCAGUGAGUGAGUGAAUGCAUGAAUCCUUCAUCUUGGCUAGAAAAGCAACACAGUUGAUAUCGUCUCUCUGGAAGACUGGUCAUGUUAUCUUAGACCAUGACUCUGGGCAGGUACCAGGAGGGAUGAGGGAGAGGGGGAGGAUUUAAUAUUUGUCAUUUGUUACAAUGUGCCCUGUGUGUGAGAUUCUAGAGAAACCGUGAACCUCAGAUUGGGACUUGAACCCACAAGGCUGGGACUCAAACCCAGCCAAAACCCUGACUGGGACUUGAACCCACUCAGCCAGGCCUCAAACCUGGCCGAAACCCACAGUCUUCCAACUGAGAUCACACACCUGGUUUCAGGACUUAGUGAAGCUCAGGCUCUUGAUGUCUCAUCACAGAAAGAAUUCAGUGAGAGACAAAGUGAUAGGUAAGAAAUGGAUUUAUUUAGGGAGAAACACUCCACAGACAGAGUGUGGGCCAUCUCAGAAGGUGAGAAAGGCACCAGGGUAUGGCGUUGUCCGUUUUUACAGGGGUGGUUAAUUUCAUAGGCUAAUGAGUGGUGGGAGAAGUAUUCCAG
This is a long non-coding RNA of Balaenoptera acutorostrata (minke whale), 888 nucleotides long. RefSeq lists it as uncharacterized. The transcript has 3 exons. NCBI's taxonomy places the organism in Eukaryota, Metazoa, Chordata, Mammalia, Artiodactyla, Balaenopteridae. The record is from RefSeq and is a predicted model, not a curated record.